GGUCCGCAUGGCGAGAUACCAACAGCGAACGGCCCAAUACUACAACUCUAGAGUCAAGCCCAAGCUCUUCAAAGUGGGGGACCUCGUCCUCAGGAGAGCCGAGGCUUCUCAACCGACUGAGCGAGGAAAGCUCGCCCCAAAUUGGGAGGGGCCGUAUCAGAUCGCCCGGGUACAACGACCAGGGGCGUAUAAAUUAAAGUCCCUAGAGGGGACCCUGAUCCCGCGAAGCUGGAACUCCGAGAAUCUACGAAUGUACUACCAAUAAAACUCCUAGGGGUUCAAGACAAUCAGGACAAUGGACUCAGCUUCCUUUUCGCAAACAAUUCUCUUAUCUUGAUGGCUGUAAUUCUCUUCUAAUAUUGGGUCGUCUGUGAUCCUCAGAUUCUUCGGCCAAAAUCGGGAUGCCUCGAGGCUCGACCGUAGAGUCCCAAACUCCCUCGACCUCGGG
This 448-nucleotide long non-coding RNA is filed under the name Phoenix dactylifera (date palm). RNAcentral's name for it is "long non-coding RNA (PDAC_LNC019739)". Lineage: Eukaryota; Viridiplantae; Streptophyta; Magnoliopsida; Arecales; Arecaceae. The record is from RNAcentral.